UUGAUUUAUUUGUUUAAACCACUCAGAGAAUACUAAAGUAAAAACAAUGGUUUAUGGCCUCCGGCGGGCGCCUGGUUCCGGGUGUGAGCCCGGGGCGUGGCCGCCGAAGCAACUGAGGUAUGUUCACAGGGGUUGGGAGUUGUAAACUCGGUAAUGAUCCCUCCGCUGGUUCACCAACGGAGA
RNAcentral lists this unclassified non-coding RNA (183 nucleotides) under uncultured fungus. RNAcentral's name for it is "sequence contains ITS1". The record is from RNAcentral. Lineage: Eukaryota; Fungi.